AUGCAAGUCGAACGCACUCUCGUUUAGAUUGAAGGAGCUUGCUCCUGAUUGAUAAACAUUUGAGUGAGUGGCGGACGGGUGAGUAACACGUGGGUAACCUGCCCUAAAGUGGGGGAUAACAUUUGGAAACAGAUGCUAAUACCGCAUAAAACCUAACACCGCAUGGUGUAGGGUUGAAAGAUGGUUUCGGCUAUCACUUUAGGAUGGACCCGCGGUGCAUUAGUUAGUUGGUGAGGUAAAGGCUCACCAAGACCGUGAUGCAUAGCCGACCUGAGAGGGUAAUCGGCCACACUGGGACUGAGACACGGCCCAGACUCCUACGGGAGGCAGCAGUAGGGAAUCUUCCACAAUGGACGACAGUCUGAUGGAGCAACGCCGCGCUGAGUGAAGAAGGUUUUCGGAUCGUAAAACUCU
Molecule: ribosomal RNA, 414 nt
Filed under: uncultured Bacilli bacterium
Lineage: Bacteria; Bacillati; Bacillota; Bacilli
Description: bacterial SSU rRNA
Rfam family: Bacterial small subunit ribosomal RNA
Source: RNAcentral